This 546-nucleotide ribosomal RNA is filed under the name uncultured bacterium. Its description in RNAcentral is "bacterial SSU rRNA". It matches the Rfam family "Bacterial small subunit ribosomal RNA", at positions 355 to 895 of the family's 1533-position model. The record is from RNAcentral.
UGGGGAAUAUUGCGCAAUGGGGGGAACCCUGACGCAGCCAUGCCGCGUGAAUGAAGAAGGCCUUAGGGUUGUAAAGUUCUUUCGGUAUUGAGGAAGGUUGAUGUGUUAAUAGCACAUCAAAUUGACGUUAAAUACAGAAGAAGCACCGGCUAACUCCGUGCCAGCAGCCGCGGUAAUGCGGAGGGUGCGAGCGUUAAUCGGAAUAACUGGGCGUAAAGGGCACGCAGGCGGUUAUUUAAGUGAGGUGUGAAAGCCCCGGGCUUAACCUGGGAAUUGCAUUUCAGACUGAGUAACUAGAGUACUUUAGGGAGGGGUAGAAUUCCACGUGUAGCGGUGAAAUGCGUAGAGAUGUGGAGGAAUACCGAAGGCGAAGGCAGCCCCUUGGGAAUGUACUGACGCUCAUGUGCGAAAGCGUGGGGAGCAAACAGGAUUAGAUACCCUGGUAGUCCACGCUGUAAACGCUGUCGAUUUGGGGGUUGGGGUUUAACUCUGGCGCCCGUAGCUAACGUGAUAAAUCGACCGCCUGGGGAGUACGGCCGCAAGGUU